Molecule: long non-coding RNA, 878 nt
Organism: Capsicum annuum
Lineage: Eukaryota; Viridiplantae; Streptophyta; Magnoliopsida; Solanales; Solanaceae
Exons: 3
Source: RefSeq, a predicted model, not a curated record
UCUGUUCACAAAGUUGAGGGGUAUAUUUGACCCUUUUUCCCUAAAACAAACGAACCGCCGCCGUCAAUCCCUCUCCGAUGAACUGUCACCAACAACGGACAGCCUUCACCUGUCACCUCUCUCUCCUUACCAGUCGGCGAUCCCCAACAGCCAACCGCCACUGCACAACAACCAGUAACCAGGACUCCGGCGUCCCUCCUCCCUCUGUUCUCCUGUCCACCGUUGCCUCCUUCCACCGGAGCUUGCAACAGCCAUAUACACCAGUGAAACCCCUCAAAACAGUGGACCAAAUGGUCCCUCGAACCGCCGCCAUCCCACUAUCUUUUAGACGGUGAAAUAGUGCCAGCGCCGGCCCUCCUCUUCUCCUGCCGCUGCUGCACAACUACACAUCCAUAAUCUUUCCAUAUUAGCCUCACCGGAAGUGAUGACCGGUGAGGUGCCGCAACAGCCAGUGUAGUCCCUUCCCCUUUUAACAGUGAAUUCCCUCCGAGACGACCGACGAGACUAUGUCAGAAUCAUGUUUUAUGCUUGGUCAGGCAUUCUCAGAUUUUUACAGAUCGGAUGCUCAGGUUCCCUACUGUGCUUACACAUUCCAGCGCAUCAACAACAGUAUUAGUGGUGAGUACUCAUAUAUGGAGGAUCGUUUAUGUUUACCUUAGUCUACCAACUUAGUAGUUAGUCGAAGUUAGUUGGGGACUUGUCCCAUCAACUUCUCAAUUAGUUUGAGGCUUUUCAGUCUAUUUCAGACAGCUAGUUAGCUUACCAGAUGUUAUUAUCAGUUUUCUCAGUAUUGUUUUCAGACGUUUUCAGAACUAUGAUUUUUAAUCGCAUGUUUCAGUAUUUAAAACCUUAUGGUAUUUUUAGUCAAAUUCCGUACA